RNAcentral lists this long non-coding RNA (650 nucleotides) under Callithrix jacchus (white-tufted-ear marmoset). Its description in RNAcentral is "lncRNA (ENSCJAG00000086679.1)". Lineage: Eukaryota; Metazoa; Chordata; Mammalia; Primates; Cebidae. The record is from RNAcentral.
AAGAUAUUUGUGUCUCUUUAAUUAUUUUUUUCCAGUUUAUUUUGUAUUUUACAUAUUAAUGUGUUAUUGUUAGAUAAAAUAUAAAUGGACUUUUAACCCUGAAAAAAAGUGCUUUUUUAUUAUAUUUUUAAAUCCUACUAAUUGCAUUCUUUUGAUUAACUGGAAGAAAAAGACAAUUUUAGUUUAGACAAUCACAUAAAUACAAAUAUUUCUUUUUUUUUUCUUUUGAAAAUUUUUUUUUUUUUUUUUUUUUUUUUUUUUUUUUUGGAGAUGGGGUUUUGCCUUGUUGCCCAGGCUGGUCUUGAACUCCUGAGCUGAAGCUAUUCACCUGCCUCGGCCUCCCAAAGUGCUGGGAUUACAGGUGUCAGCUGCCAAGCCCAGCCCAUUCAUAAUUGUUUUAAACAUUCUGUUUUCAUAGCCUCCAUAUAACAGGAAAAUGAUGGGUGCACUUUUUGCUUAUUUAUUCAAAUGAUGAGUAUUUGUUGGGCACACACCCACCUCAGGCACUGUUUGGGGACUAUGAAGUUGUAAUCACUGAACAAAAACACGUUCCCUACCCUCGUGGUGCUUACCUUUUGGUAAAAUACAUGUGCAAAUGAAUAACCAGAAAGAUAAUUGCCUUACAAUUCUGACAGAGAUAAUUGGCAAAA